AUAAAGGAUGUAAAAAUUAGUGAGUGAUGUAGGGUUUUUCUUUAUAGUGGUGUGCUGCUCCCUCAAAGCAGAGGUACAACAUAGUUUCACUAUACGCUGCGUGGAGAAGGCCUUUCUUUGCUCUGCCCUGAACCUUCCAACAUUCAGCGCCAUUGGAUGUCCUCAAAUUCUAGGGCUCCGAGAGAGGGGGGGAAAGCUUUUCUCUUAUCACCUUUUUUAUUUCCCCUGGCGGCAUUUCUGUCAAAUUUUGCCAUGGGAAGGAAAAUGGACCGAAAACAGGAAGUUGUCCCUUAAAAAAAAAGCGCGGGAAACAGAAGCCUCAGCCAUCUCUAUCACAAUCCGCAUCUCUGAUCUGUGACUGCAAUGAAUUGAUUCAUUCAUCGCUUGCGGGGAGUGAGUUUCUGUCAGUCGCCUCCGGUCACCUCUUGGCUGUAGGCAUAGCCAGGAUAUUUAUUUUAGGGAGGGGAAGGCUUUAUAGGUUUUUUUUGGGGGGGGGCGCAGAAACGACGCAAUUGGUCAGUUAAGUACAGUAUUUUUAUUUCCUCACUUGAUUUGGAGAGGAGGGCUGAGGAGGAAGCCAGGCAUAGCGGGGGGGCAAGCUGUGCCCCCCCCCAAAAUCAAAUAAGGAAAUAAAAAUACUUAACUAAUUGCGUCGGUUCUGCGCCCCCCCCUAAAAAGCAGGGCUGUGACGUGAGGGAAUGGGGUGUCACACGAAGGCUGCCUCUUGCUUGCGGGUGUAGAAUAAGGGGUGCAGCGUGGAAGGAAGAAUCAGGUUUAUGAAAUGGGCCCUUCUGAAGGGGGCGCAUUAAAAGGAUCCCUAUGGGUUAGGCAAAGAAAGAAGAUGCUCUUUUGCCGCAGCCACGUGGCCUUUCCUCAGUUGCCACUAGCCCAGUGUUUCCCAAACUUGGGUCUCCAGCUGUUGUCGGGUUGGUGUUGGUUUUUUUUUUAUGACUACAAUUCCCAUCAUCCCGGAUCACUGGUCUAGCCAGCUAGGGAUGAUGGGAGUUGUAGUCCGAAAACUGCUGGAGUCUCAAGUAUGGGGAACACUGCACUAGCCCAAGCUUCCUGGAAUAUUGUGUAGGUUUCCUUAUUUCAAUUCCCCCAGGAAAGUUGGAGAGAGCAAUAAAAUAGCUCCCCCUGUCAAACAGUAGUGGUGGCACCAUGGGUAAAAAAAUAAUACAGUAUGCCUUAUAAAUAUGUAGGACUGGUUUGGGUGGGGAAGCCUUGUCCUACCUCUUUUGUAUGAAAGGGGGGGAUGCUCCCUAUUCUAAAUGUAUUUCCUCCGAAGUGUCUUUUUAAUUUGAGGGAGUUAAUUUUCAAGUAAGCAAUUUGGAAUCACGACAGAAUUUCUGGAUUACGUUUCUCCUAUAAUUUACAACUUCAUCACUGAUGUUCAUCAGGAUGGUAGGACCUCCUCUUACUCGGUCCAACCCUACCAAAUAUUUGGCACCAUGGCUGCUACAAGGCCAUCAUUCUGCAGUUGAUACAAAAAGCAGGAAGCUAUCUAGAAAAGACCAGGGUACACCAGAGGAUAUGUUAAAAGUGUGGCGCUUACUGUAACAACUUCAUGACCAUAAAACUGGCAGCAAUAGCAUCACCAUUGAAAGUUUUUAAAAGCUGGAGUGAAGAAGAAGAAGAGUUUGGAUUUGAUAUCCCGCUUUAUCACUACCCGAAGGAGUCUCAAAGCAGCUAACAUUCUCCUUUC
Podarcis muralis (Common wall lizard) is the source of this 1705-nucleotide non-coding RNA. The record is from RefSeq and is a predicted model, not a curated record. Lineage: Eukaryota; Metazoa; Chordata; Lepidosauria; Squamata; Lacertidae.